CCUACGGGAGGCUGCAGUCGAGGAUCUUCGGCAAUGAGCGAAAGCUUGACCGAGCGACGCCGCGUGCGGGAUGAAGGCCUUCGGGUUGUAAACCGCUGUCAGUGGGGAGGAAAUAUAGGUGGGAUCACCCACUUAUUUGACCUAUCCGCAGAGGAAGGACGGGCUAAGUUCGUGCCAGCAGCCGCGGUAAUACGGACCGUCCUAACGUUAUUCGGAAUCACUGGGCUUAAAGGGUGCGUAGGCGGCCUGGUAAGUUGCGUGUGAAAUCCCUCGGCUUAACCGAGGAAUGGCGCGCAAAACUGCCCGGCUUGAGGGAGACAGAGGUGAGCGGAACUUAGGGUGGAGCGGUGAAAUGCGUUGAUAUCCUAAGGAACACCGGUGGCGAAAGCGACUCACUGGGUCUUUUCUGACGCUGAGGCACGAAAGCUAGGGUAGCGAACGGGAUUAGAUACCCUAGUAGUC
This 462-nucleotide ribosomal RNA is filed under the name uncultured bacterium. RNAcentral describes it as "bacterial SSU rRNA". It matches the Rfam family "Bacterial small subunit ribosomal RNA", at positions 338 to 795 of the family's 1533-position model. The record is from RNAcentral.